Molecule: transfer RNA, 77 nt
Filed under: Candidatus Peregrinibacteria bacterium CG10_big_fil_rev_8_21_14_0_10_42_8
Lineage: Bacteria; Candidatus Peregrinibacteriota
Description: tRNA-Ala
Rfam family: tRNA
About the family: Transfer RNA (tRNA) molecules are approximately 80 nucleotides in length. Their secondary structure includes four short double-helical elements and three loops (D, anti-codon, and T loops).
Source: RNAcentral
GGGGCUGUAGCUCAGUUGGCUAGAGCACUUGCAUGGCAUGCAAGGGGUCAGGAGUUCAAGUCUCCUCAGCUCCACCA